RNAcentral lists this ribosomal RNA (432 nucleotides) under uncultured bacterium. RNAcentral's name for it is "partial 16S ribosomal RNA". It matches the Rfam family "Bacterial small subunit ribosomal RNA", at positions 338 to 795 of the family's 1533-position model. The record is from RNAcentral.
CCUACGGGGGGCAGCAGUCGAGAAUUUUUCUCAAUGGGGGAAACCCUGAAGGAGCGACGCCGCGUGGAGGAUGAAGGCUUUCGGGUUGUAAACUCCUGUCAUUUGGGAACUAGUACCAGAAGAGGAAGAGACGGCUAACUCUGUGCCAGCAGCCGCGGUAAUACAGAGGUCUCAAGCGUUGUUCGGAUUCAUUGGGCGUAAAGGGUGCGUAGGUGGCGCUGUAAGUCGGGUGUGAAAUUUCGGAGCUUAACUCCGAAACUGCAUUCGAUACUGCGGUGCUUGAGGACUGGAGAGGAGACUGGAAUUCAUGGUGUAGCAGUGAAAUGCGUAGAGAUCAUGAGGAAGACCAGUGGCGAAGGCGGGUCUCUGGACAGUCCUGACACUGAGGCACGAAGGCCAGGGGAGCAAACGGGAUUAGAUACCCUUGUAGUC